CAGUAGCCGCGGUAAUACAGAGGGUGCAAGCGUUAAUCGGAAUUACUGGGCGUAAAGCGCGCGUAGGUGGUUCGCCAAGUUGGAUGUGAAAUCCCCGGGCUCAACCUGGGAACUGCAUCCAAAACUGGCGAGCUAGAGUAUGGUAGAGGGUGGUGGAAUUUCCUGUGUAGCGGUGAAAUGCGUAGAUAUAGGAAGGAACAUCAGUGGCGAAGGCGACCACCUGGACUGAUACCGACACUGAGGUGCGAAAGCGUGGGGAGCAAACAGGAUUAGAUACCCCAGUAGUCCCUGUCUCUUAUAC
RNAcentral lists this ribosomal RNA (301 nucleotides) under uncultured bacterium. RNAcentral's name for it is "partial 16S ribosomal RNA". It matches the Rfam family "Bacterial small subunit ribosomal RNA", at positions 509 to 807 of the family's 1533-position model. The record is from RNAcentral.